ACAGGCCGCUGGUGUAUCUGUUGUAGUGCCAACUGCAUGGCAGAGUAGCCAAGCCUGGAAGGGAUAAACGCUGAAGGCAUCUAAGCGUGAAGCCCCCCUCAAGAUGAGAUAUCCCAUUCGUGAGAAGUAAGACCCCUUGAAGACGACGAGGUAGAUAGGGCAGAGGUGGAAGUGCAGCAAUGUAUGGAGCUGACUGCUACUAAUCGGUCGAGGGCUUGACCAGAA
This 225-nucleotide ribosomal RNA is filed under the name Blautia stercoris. RNAcentral's name for it is "partial 23S ribosomal RNA". It matches the Rfam family "Bacterial large subunit ribosomal RNA", at positions 2701 to 2925 of the family's 2925-position model. Lineage: Bacteria; Bacillati; Bacillota; Clostridia; Lachnospirales; Lachnospiraceae. The record is from RNAcentral.